Molecule: unclassified non-coding RNA, 337 nt
Filed under: soil metagenome
Description: partial contains 5.8S ribosomal RNA, internal transcribed spacer 2, and large subunit ribosomal RNA
Rfam family: 5.8S ribosomal RNA (bases 1-120)
Source: RNAcentral
GAUGAAGAACGUAGCGAAAUGCGAUAAGUAGUGUGAAUUGCAGAAUUCAGUGAAUCAUCGAAUCUUUGAACGCACAUUGCGCCCCUUGGUAUUCCAUGGGGCAUGCCUAUUCGAGCGUCAUUUGUACCUUCAAGCCUUGCUUGGUGUUGGGUGUUUGUCUCGCCUCUGCGCGCAGACUCGCCUCAAAACAAUUGGCAGCCGGCGUAUUGAUUUCGGAGCGCAGUACAUCUCGCGCUUUGCACUCAGAACGACGACGUCCAAAAGUACAUUUUUACACUCUUGACCUCGGAUCAGGUAGGGAUACCCGCUGAACUUAAGCAUAUCAAUAAGCGGAGGA